UUUUUUCCUUAAACAAAACUUAGAACAAAACUCAUAUUCAUCAACAACAACAACAACAAAACCCACCAGCAACAUCAUCAUCAAACCCUAAUCGAUUUCGUUCCACAACCAUCACCAAUUCUAAAAACCAGUGAAAUUUUCACGGCAACACAAGAUGUAAUUCACUUUCAAUUUCAAUUUUCACCGUAAAAACCCCAGCAUCAGUCGUAAUUCACUUUCAAUUUAUAAGAACCCUUCUUUAAAUUUUUGAAAUCACGGCAACACAAGAUGGACAAAGAAUAAAAAAAGAGGGAUGAUUGUCAACAGUGACGAUGAGCUUGGAUUUGAUGAAGAUGUGAGGGUUUCGAUGAAUGGUUAACAGAACUUGCUUUUAUGAGAAAUUGAAUGCAAAAGGGAAUCUGAUGAAAAUUGGAGUUUUCUGGGUUUUUGGUUUAGUUUUAAGAUGAUGUUGUGAGGGAGAUGAAGAAGGUAAAAGAAGACAUGUUUUCCAUAGAGAGAAGGUUUCUGGACUUAUGUUUUCUA
RNAcentral lists this long non-coding RNA (522 nucleotides) under Trifolium pratense (red clover). RNAcentral describes it as "long non-coding RNA (TPRA_LNC012438)". The record is from RNAcentral. Lineage: Eukaryota; Viridiplantae; Streptophyta; Magnoliopsida; Fabales; Fabaceae.